UUGGAUCCUGGCACAGAGAUGGUGUCUAGUGGAUGAUGUGAACUGAAUGCACGAGAGCUGUGUGACCUGACACGUGGGACCAUUCAUCCAGCGGCAUGACCAGAUGACAGCACAUCCAAUUCAUCGUAUACAGGUGCCAAGUAACUUCAGCUUGCCACUCUUGGGUAAAUGAUGACUGCUUUAAUUUAUACCUGCUGGGAAGCCCUCACCUAAGGAAAG
RNAcentral lists this long non-coding RNA (219 nucleotides) under Pan troglodytes (chimpanzee). RNAcentral's name for it is "long non-coding RNA NONPTRT002353". The record is from RNAcentral. Lineage: Eukaryota; Metazoa; Chordata; Mammalia; Primates; Hominidae.